GAUAACUCUGGGAAACUGGGGAUAAUACUGGAUAUUAGGCUAUGCCUGGAAUGGUUUGCCUUUGAAAUGUUUUUUUCGCCUAAGGAUAGGUCUGCGGCUGAUUAGGUCGUUGGUGGGGUAAUGGCCCACCAAGCCGAUGAUCGGUACGGGUUGUGAGAGCAAGGGCCCGGAGAUGGAACCUGAGACAAGGUUCCAGACCCUACGGGGUGCAGCAGGCGCGAAACCUCCGCAAUGUACGAAAGUGCGACGGGGGGAUCCCAAGUGUUAUGCUUUUUUGUAUGACUUUUCAUUAGUGUAAAAAGCUUUUAGAAUAAGAGCUGGGCAAGACCGGUACCAGCCGCCGCGGUAACACCGGCAGCUCGAAUAAUAACUAUUUUUAUUAAACCUAAAACAUUCAUAGCCAAUUUAAUAAAUCUUUAAUAAAAACUUAUAACUUAACUAUAAGAAUUACUAAAAAUACUAUUAAACUUAAAGUCGAAAGAGGUUAGAGGUACUACCGAGGUAGGAGUGAAAUCCUAUAAUCCUGGGAGGACCACCUGUGGCGAAGGCGUCUAACUGGAACGAUCUUGACGGUGAGUAACGAAAGCCAGGGGCGCGAACCGGAUUAGAUACCCGGGUAGUCCUGGCCGUAAACGAUGUGGACUUGGUGUUGGAAUGGCUUUGAGUUGUUCCGGUGCCGAAGGGAAGCUGUUAAGUCCACCGCCUGGGAAGUACGGUCGCAAGACUGAAACUUAA
RNAcentral lists this ribosomal RNA (735 nucleotides) under uncultured archaeon. RNAcentral's name for it is "bacterial SSU rRNA". It matches the Rfam family "Archaeal small subunit ribosomal RNA", at positions 125 to 859 of the family's 1478-position model. The record is from RNAcentral.